CCUACGGGAGGCUGCAGUAGGGAAUAUUGCUCAAUGGGGGAAACCCUGAAGCAGCAACGCCGCGUGGAGGAUGAAGGUUUUCGGAUUGUAAACUCCUUUUGUUAGAGAAGAUAAUGACGGUAUCUAACGAAUAAGCACCGGCUAACUCCGUGCCAGCAGCCGCGGUAAUACGGAGGGUGCAAGCGUUACUCGGAAUCACUGGGCGUAAGGAGCGCGUAGGCGGGAUAGCAAGUCAGAUGUGAAAUCCUAUGGCUUAACCAUAGAACUGCAUUUGAAACUGGUAUUCUAGAGUAUGGGAGAGGUAGGUAGAAUUCUUGGUGUAGGGGUAAAAUCCGUAGAGAUCAAGAGGAAUACUCAUUGCGAAGGCGACCUGCUAGAACAAAACUGACGCUGAUGCGCGAAAGCGUGGGGAGCAAACAGGAUUAGAUACCCUUGUAGUC
This 440-nucleotide ribosomal RNA is filed under the name uncultured bacterium. RNAcentral's name for it is "partial 16S ribosomal RNA". It matches the Rfam family "Bacterial small subunit ribosomal RNA", at positions 338 to 795 of the family's 1533-position model. The record is from RNAcentral.